AUGAUUGAUACCGCCAGAACCCCCUUCCCUUACGCAGCCCCGAGCAGCGCCCGGCGCAGGCUGACAAACUGCUGCUCUGUCCAGAGAUCACACAGAGGGUCUGAUACUUUUUAUUUUCUUGCUUGCACCACGGGAGAACUUUCGUCUGAGAAAGGGCAGGGACCCAGGGAGACUUUGCAGAUGUUAAUACAGCCCAUUGGAUCAAACAAACAUUGAUCCAGGUAAGAACUGCUCAUUGAUAGUAUCAAAUGAAUAUUAUGUAUCAUAAGUCACACAUCCAUGUCUUUAUGCUACAUUUAUACAGUUUGGAAGCCUGAACUUGCAUAAAGUUUGUAACCUUGACUCACUGAUCAUCUUGCAUUUCUUAAGAAAUAAUUAAUACCAUUACUGUUUCAGUAAUGUCAGUAAUUAAUACCAUUACAUUUUCUCUAGAAAGUCCUGUAAUUGUUAUCUGAUUGCUUCAUAUGCCUGCUUUAUGAUGAAUAUUUGUGUAAUGCGGAUGGCAGAUGCUGUGUGAAUGCAUCUCCAUGUUCAUACUAUUUAAACUAGGAAAGUUCUUAGAGGUAACUAUGGUACUGGACAUCAAGUUAAAUUUUUAAAAUGUCAUUAUACAUAACUAAAAAACAAAAAUACUUGCUGGUACUAGGUGGAUUCAUUUUCUAUGAAAACUUAACUUCGCACUAACAUGCCUUAUAAUGCCCUUCAUGAUAUUGUUGUUAGAGGCAACAGUGGAAAGUAUUUACACAAUAUAGGCAGAAAAACUCCUCCUUGGAAUAAGAAUAACCUUAGCCAAGGAUAUUUCUCUAAGAAUUAAUAACCAGCUGGGGUUAAUGGUCACUGGCUUCACCUUAGGCCCUCAAUUAAUUCCUGAACCUCAACUGUUAUUACCUAAUUGACUUAGUUUCAUUUCAUUUUAACAUUUCAAAGUGAUCUUCCUAAAAUCACCCUGACAGAGUAACAUGGUCUCUGCAGAUGCACACUGACAUGGUUUCAAUAUUGUUACUUUGUCUCCAUGCACUUGCAUUGACAUUUCAUUUUGUUUUGACAUCACGAUGCCACAUCUAUGGAUCUGUGCAGAUGACAUGUGAUUGUUCACGUUAGGUGAAAGCCAGGAGUGAGGGAGAAAGUCCAUGAGGAGAGCCUGAUGUCUUUGAGGACAUCAGGUCAGCUAAAAGCUGCUGAGCGGAACUAUUGCUAAUAUUGCGAAUAAUUGCUAUAAUUGUGAGUGUGAUUUUUAUAUCGUAAAGGGAAGAAAGUCAGGUAAAACUUCACUUGAAAUCUUCCAGUCUUUUUCCUUACUAAUAAAUUUUUUAAAUUGACUUAGAUCA
Molecule: long non-coding RNA, 1328 nt
Filed under: Numida meleagris (helmeted guineafowl)
Lineage: Eukaryota; Metazoa; Chordata; Aves; Galliformes; Numididae
Description: lncRNA (ENSNMEG00000021625.1)
Source: RNAcentral